This 142-nucleotide microRNA precursor is filed under the name Paramuricea clavata. Lineage: Eukaryota; Metazoa; Cnidaria; Anthozoa; Malacalcyonacea; Plexauridae. The record is from RNAcentral.
UGAGAGGACCAGUAUUCCAAAAAUGGUUGUUCUUUAUUUCUUUAUAAUCGUAGUUUCCCUAGUUUUUUACAUACAUGUUCAUCAUAUAGGAGUCUGAGUAAAGAAAUAAAGAACAACCAUUUUUGGAAUACUGGUCCUCUCA